UACCUUCUUAAAGUUUACAAUAAAAAUUAUUAGGUUUUUAAUAUUCGAAAACUUUAUGCAAGUCAUACGCUUUAAUUAGUUAAGGGACAACAUUAGUCAAGCUUUCUACUGCAAAUAUUAAGGAAAUAACACACAAACAUGCUACUGCAACAAAAUAAACUACCUAUUAUUAAGUUGGACGAAAAUAUCGAUCAAUUUGGACAUAAAUUAAAAAAAAAAAAUGAAUUUUCAACCGACCGUGCCAAACUUGCUCUGCAAAAGACGGGAGACGGAGGAGAGUGACGGAAAGUCUAAAUCCAAAACAAAAUAUUCAAAUCGAAAACCGUUGGAAAAAUAUUAAAAACCUUAUGUGAACGAUUAAAUGUUAAUGAAAUUAAAGUGGAUACAUUAAAAACAAAAUAUAUUGGUUGGUACUUCAAUUAGUUAAAUUUAAGAAAACUUUUAUGAAAUAAUAAUAUUAUAUAUUAUAUGGUUAAUUUAUUUA
Molecule: long non-coding RNA, 484 nt
Organism: Metopolophium dirhodum (rose-grain aphid)
Lineage: Eukaryota; Metazoa; Arthropoda; Insecta; Hemiptera; Aphididae
Exons: 2
Source: RefSeq, a predicted model, not a curated record